UGGGGAAUAUUGCACAAUGGGCGAAAGCCUGAUGCAGCGACGCCGCGUGAGGGAUGACGGCCUUCGGGUUGUAAACCUCUUUCAGCAGGGAAGAAGCUUAAUCGUGACGGUACCUGCAGAAGAAGCACCGGCUAACUACGUGCCAGCAGCCGCGGUAAUACGUAGGGUGCGAGCGUUGUCCGGAAUUAUUGGGCGUAAAGAGCUUGUAGGCGGUUUGUCGCGUCUGCUGUGAAGACUCGGGGCUUAACCCCGAGCCUGCAGUGGGUACGGGCAGACUAGAGUAUGGUAGGGGAGACUGGAAUUCCUGGUGUAGCGGUGGAAUGCGCAGAUAUCAGGAGGAACACCGAUGGCGAAGGCAGGUCUCUGGGCCAUAACUGACGCUGAGAAGCGAAAGCAUGGGGAGCGAACAGGAUUAGAUACCCUGGUAGUCCAUGCCGUAAACGUUGGGCGCUAGGUGUGGGGCUCAUUCCACGAGUUCCGUGCCGCAGCUAACGCAUUAAGCGCCCCGCCUGGGGAGUACGGCCGCAAGGCUAAAACUCAAAGGAAUUGACGGGGGCCCGCACAAGCGGCGGAGCAUGCUGAUUAAUUCGAUGCAACGCGAAGAACCUUACCAAGGCUUGACAUAUACCGGAAACACUCAGAGAUGGGU
This 649-nucleotide ribosomal RNA is filed under the name uncultured bacterium. Its description in RNAcentral is "bacterial SSU rRNA". It matches the Rfam family "Bacterial small subunit ribosomal RNA", at positions 355 to 1011 of the family's 1533-position model. The record is from RNAcentral.